Long non-coding RNA from Brassica napus (rape), 1350 nucleotides. RefSeq lists it as uncharacterized. Lineage: Eukaryota; Viridiplantae; Streptophyta; Magnoliopsida; Brassicales; Brassicaceae. The record is from RefSeq and is a predicted model, not a curated record. The transcript has 4 exons.
CUCUCUCUCUCUCUCUCUCUCUCUCUCUCUCUCUCUCUCUCUCUCUCUCUCUCUCUCUCUCUCUCUCUCUCUCUCUCUCUCUCUCUCUCUUCCGAAGAACACAUGUGAAUUCACUCUCGCUCUCCCAAAAUCAUAAAAGUAAACCAAUGGGAUUAGCAAGAGCAUUCUGAAGAUGGAAUACUCAAUGCUCAAGUAUGGAUAUCCGGCCUUCAAUGACAUGGAUGAACAAAAUCACAAGAUGUGGUUUCUCAAUUUGCGAAAGAGUUCACUUGAGAGUCUGGGUUGACGGAAACGGUGUGCAUCAUUCUACCACUACGCAACGGGCCACUAUGAUAAGGAGAUCUUUCGUGGAAGCAGAAAUGACUUGAAGACAAGACACCGAAAAUGAUUAACAUGAUGGUCUGGGAGGACUUGCAGGUGCAUUGGGCAAAACCUGAUACACAAGUUGAGUCAUAGAUCAAAUCGUAAGUGUAUGUCUAUAACUUAGGUAGCACCGGUAUGUCUUCCUCGAAGAUCAACUCGUAAGUGUUUUAAAUACUUUUAACUUUAUUUCUUUUCUUACUAAUUAAUUAAUCUUUGUAUUUUGUAGAUUGCAGAAGAUGAUGGUAAUCCCAUCGAUGAUCUCAGUCUGUUGAAGAGGCAUACAUCAACAAGAAAAUAUGUUAAAUUCAAGAUCCUGUUAGGAGGGAGGUCAUCCACCUGGUGGAAACCCAGGCGGAAAAAGUCAUUGCUUCCCAACCUUUGUCUGAAGAUCGAUCUUUUCGGAUUCCAACAGUUUGAUGUGGGAGCAAAUGAACAACCUCGUACUUAAAGCUCCAUGAUCAAGAGAUUUUAGAGCAGUUGUAGAACAAAGAAUAUCGUAUUGCAGUUUUAGAGUCCUAGAUGGUGGAACAAUAAAGUCAGAACCAGAUGAUGCUGGACAAGAUGAAACAACUGUUUCCCAUGAAUUUUAGUUUCUUUACAUUUUAGAACUUUUAAAUGUUAUUUUUAAAUUUCUAAAUUUUUAUGUAUAUUUGGAAUUUAAUUUAUAUUUUAAUUAAUAAAUUAAAAUUUUAAUUAGUAAUUUAAUUAUUAUAAUUCAUAUACGAGAUUAAUAAAAAUUGAAAAAUCUUAAUUUAAAUUUCCAGCAAAAAGAAAUUCGUCGAAAAUUGAAGUUAUUUUUCGAUGAACAUGAUUACGUCGAAAAUAUAUCCCGAAAAAAAAAUAUAUAUAUAUAUAUCCCGACACAACUAAAUUCUUAGGGAAUAUGUCCCGAGGAAACAAUAUUUCUCCAAAAUAAAGUUGGUAUAUUUUCUUGACAAAAUUAUUAAUUGGUAUAUAUUUUCGACGAACAGAGUAUACGUAAGUAUU